RNAcentral lists this unclassified non-coding RNA (343 nucleotides) under soil metagenome. RNAcentral's name for it is "partial contains 5.8S ribosomal RNA, internal transcribed spacer 2, and large subunit ribosomal RNA". The stretch from base 1 to 120 matches the Rfam family "5.8S ribosomal RNA", at positions 35 to 154 of the family's 154-position model. The record is from RNAcentral.
GAUGAAGAACGUAGCGAAAUGCGAUAAGUAAUGUGAGUUGCAGAAUUCAGUGAAUCAUCGAAUCUUUGAACGCACAUUGCGCCCGCUAGUAUUCUGGCGGGCAUGCCUGUCCGAGCGUCAUUUCAACCCUCAAGCCCCCGGGCUUGGUGUUGGGGAUCGGCGAGCCUCCGCGCCCGCCGUCCCCUAAAUCUAGUGGCGGUCUCGCUGUAGCUUCCUCUGCGUAGUAGCACACCUCGCACUGGGAAACAGCGCGGCCACGCCGUUAAACCCCCAACUUCUGAACGUUUGACCUCGGAUCAGGUAGGAAUACCCGCUGAACUUAAGCAUAUCAAUAAGCGGAGGA